Molecule: transfer RNA, 88 nt
Filed under: Coprobacter fastidiosus
Lineage: Bacteria; Pseudomonadati; Bacteroidota; Bacteroidia; Bacteroidales; Barnesiellaceae
Also listed under: 3 other names
Description: tRNA-Ser
Rfam family: tRNA
About the family: Transfer RNA (tRNA) molecules are approximately 80 nucleotides in length. Their secondary structure includes four short double-helical elements and three loops (D, anti-codon, and T loops). Further hydrogen bonds mediate the characteristic L-shaped molecular structure. tRNAs have two regions of fundamental functional importance: the anti-codon, which is responsible for specific mRNA codon recognition, and the 3' end, to which the tRNAs corresponding amino acid is attached (by aminoacyl-tRNA synthetases). tRNAs cope with the degeneracy of the genetic code in two manners: having more than one tRNA (with a specific anti-codon) for a particular amino acid; and 'wobble' base-pairing, i.e. permitting non-standard base-pairing at the 3rd anti-codon position.
Source: RNAcentral
GGAGUGAUGCUCGAGUGGUUGAAGAGGCACGCCUGGAAAGCGUGUAUACGCCAAAAGCGUAUCGGGGGUUCGAAUCCCCCUCCCUCCG